GUUUCAGCAGGCAGACUGGAGUGUGGAUC
RNAcentral lists this non-coding RNA (29 nucleotides) under Cricetulus griseus (Chinese hamster). Lineage: Eukaryota; Metazoa; Chordata; Mammalia; Rodentia; Cricetidae. The record is from RNAcentral.